AUUUUAAUAGCUUAUAAUUAGAGUGUUGCUUUGAAGAUGCAAAGGAGGGUUUUCUCUUAAAAUA
RNAcentral lists this transfer RNA (64 nucleotides) under Paraahimia luodianensis. RNAcentral's name for it is "tRNA-Phe". The record is from RNAcentral. Lineage: Eukaryota; Metazoa; Arthropoda; Insecta; Hemiptera; Cicadellidae.